CUCUACUUCAGUCAAUCCUCUUUGGAUGUAAACAUCGCAAAACCUGACAGGCCCCAUUUGCUGACCUGAAACGAAAAUAAAACUCAUUGAAAACGCAGAAAAAUCCACGAAAAAAUGUGACUGCACCCGAAGGCCUAUGAACCGAGUCGAUUUCCAAAAUGGAGGUCAUGGAGACGGCGGGAGAUUUAAAAUCGCCGGACGAGGACGUGCUGGAGAUACUGGAAGAUCUGGAGACGUACGCAGAGGAUAUAAAUGAUGAUUUCCGGGAGAAAUCUGUGGCGGAGAAUUCAGUGAAUCCUAAGAAACCAUCGAAGACCGGUGUCGAAGGGUUUUUGGAUAUUCUGACAUCAGGAGCACCACGACGCAGGAGAAAAUCGAGGAGAGGCGGUAGAAAGAGAUUGUGCAAAAAAUGUGGCAUUCGAAAAACCGAGGGCUGCACAUGCCCAAAACCUCUGCCAAUACCCCAGGGACCGGUCUCUCGAAAAAUCUCCAGACGUCGGAAUAAAUCGCGAGUCUAUUCCCCAGCUCCUGCUGUCGCACCGAUGAUUGUUCCUGUAUUUUUCAUCAAUGAUGUCUUUCGCAGGCCGCAGGAUCAUCUUGCUUGGUGGAGGAUGAGCAACAAGUGCUAGAACCUAGUAGAUUGAUUUAUAAUGGAUUUAUGUCGCUUGAUUUGUUGAAUUAUCAAUUGUAAGAGUGGAGUGAUUGAAUGAAUGAGUUUAACAAUUAUAUCGAUUAUUUACCUCGAUAUUUCCCGAUUCAUGCAGUGGCUAUUGUGAUGACACCGAAAAUUCCAUGUAAAAUUUCGAUUUUUCCACAUUCUCACAUUUCACUAUUGCACAGAUUAGAAUAAUCCUUCCGGGAAAAGUUUACGGUAAUUAAUAGGAGGGGAGGGAGUGAAACAAAAAUAAUAAUAAUCACUGCACCACUCGCGACCAAUCGGAACUCACGAAGAAAUACGAAGAGGACACGAUAUUUCGACACUUCUCGGGGGUACGACGUACUUUUAAUUUUCCCACGGAUUUAGUGAUAACAAUUCAACCGCGAAGAGAAGAGGAAUAAUAAGAUUUAUCUGAAUAAAUCCAAUUGAAAUGGCACCAAUUGAAAACUGAAAUGACCCCCUUGUACCCUGAAGAGGAAGAGGAAGAGGCACUCCUGCAGGAGAUUCUCCAGAUUUUCGAGAAAGCCUCGGAAGAUCGGGAAGAAGUGGUUGAAAUUUUUCCAACACCUCCACCCACUCCCAGCAUCGAAAA
RNA transcript from Fopius arisanus, 1250 nucleotides. RefSeq lists it as uncharacterized. The record is from RefSeq and is a predicted model, not a curated record. NCBI's taxonomy places the organism in Eukaryota, Metazoa, Arthropoda, Insecta, Hymenoptera, Braconidae. The transcript has 3 exons.